Molecule: ribosomal RNA, 468 nt
Filed under: uncultured bacterium
Lineage: Bacteria
Description: partial 16S ribosomal RNA
Rfam family: Bacterial small subunit ribosomal RNA
Source: RNAcentral
GACGAACGCUGGCGGCGUGCUUAACACAUGCAAGUCGAACGGAAAGGCCCUGCUUUUGUGGGGUGCUCGAGUGGCGAACGGGUGAGUAACACGUGAGUAACCUGCCCUUGACUUUGGGAUAACUUCAGGAAACUGGGGCUAAUACCGGAUAGGAGCUCCUGCUGCAUGGUGGGGGUUGGAAAGAUUCGGCGGUUGUGGAUGGACUCGCGGCUUAUCAGCUUGUUGGUGGGGUAGUGGCUGACCCAGGCUUUGACGGGUAGCCGGCCUGAGAGGGUGACCGGCGACAUUGGGACUGAGAGACGGCCCAGACUCCUACGGGAGGCAGCGGGGGGGAGUAUUACACAAUGGGAGGAAGCCUGAUGCAGCGACGCCGCGUGCGGGAAGACGGCCUUCGGGUUGUAAACCGCUUUCGCCUGUGACGAAGCGGGAGUGACGGUAAUGGGUAAAGAAGCACCGGCUAACUACGUG